RNAcentral lists this ribosomal RNA (253 nucleotides) under uncultured bacterium. RNAcentral's name for it is "partial 16S ribosomal RNA". It matches the Rfam family "Bacterial small subunit ribosomal RNA", at positions 524 to 776 of the family's 1533-position model. The record is from RNAcentral.
UACGGAGGGGGCUAGCGUUGUUCGGAAUUACUGGGCGUAAAGCGCACGUAGGCGGACCAGCAAGUUAGGGGUGAAAUCCCGGGGCUCAACCCCGGAACUGCCUUUAAAACUGUUGGUCUGGAGGUCGAGAGAGGUGAGUGGAAUUCCGAGUGUAGAGGUGAAAUUCGUAGAUAUUCGGAGGAACACCAGUGGCGAAGGCGGUUCUCUGGGACGGUACUGACGCUGAGACGCGAAAGCGUGGGGAGCGAACAGG